GAUGAACGCUGGCGGCAUGCCUAAUACAUGCAAGUCGGACGGGAAGUGGUGUUUCCAGUGGCGGUCGGGUGAGUAACGAGUAAGAACCUGCCCUUGGGAGGGGAACAACAGCUGGAAACGGCUGCUAAUACCCCGUAGGCUGAGGAGCAAAAGGAGUAAUCCGCCUGAGGAGGGGCUCGCGACUGAUUAGCUAGUUGGUGAGGCAAUAGCUUACCAAGGCGAUGAUGCGUAGCUGGUCCGAGAGGAUGAUCAGCCACACUGGGACUGAGACACGGACCAGGGACCUUCGGGAAACGGCAGAAAGGAAGAUUCCGCAAUGGGGCAAGGCCUAACGAGGCAAUGGGGCGUGGAAGUAGAGGGCCUACGGAACGUGAACUGCUUUACCAAGAGAAGAAGCAAUGACGGUAUCUAAGGAAUAAGCAACGGCUAACUCUGUG
Molecule: ribosomal RNA, 437 nt
Filed under: uncultured bacterium
Lineage: Bacteria
Description: partial 16S ribosomal RNA
Rfam family: Bacterial small subunit ribosomal RNA
Source: RNAcentral